UUCGGAUUGCAGCCUGCAACUCGGCUGCAUGAAGUUGGAAUCGCUAGUAAUCGCGGAUCAGAAUGCCGCGGUGAAUACGUUCCCGGGUCUUGUACACACCGCCCGUCACACCAUGGGAGUCGGGAAUGCCCGAAGUCGGUGACCUAACCGAAAGGGAGGAGCCGCCGAAGGCAGGCCUGGUAACUGGGGUGAAGUCGUAACAAGGUAGC
This 209-nucleotide ribosomal RNA is filed under the name uncultured bacterium. RNAcentral describes it as "partial 16S ribosomal RNA". It matches the Rfam family "Bacterial small subunit ribosomal RNA", at positions 1292 to 1500 of the family's 1533-position model. The record is from RNAcentral.